AUUAGGUUUUACGCCUUAUUCGAUUGAACGAGAAAAAGUACUCGUCGCAAAGUUAUACUAUUAUGGCGAACUGAGUAGUCUAAUGUAGUUCCGGUUUUCGUUCUUAUGAACGUUGACAUCGAUUCGUUCCAAAUUUACACUCUCGGGGCAUAAUAGAACAAUAUAAUUAGGUUUUACUCUUUAUUCAAUUGAAUGAGAAAGAGUACUCGUUUCAAAGUUAUACUGUUAUGGCGCAACUGAGUCGUCUAAUUUAGUUCCGGUUUUGGUUCUUGUGAACUUUGACAUCGAUUGGUUCCAAAUUUACACUUACGGGGCAUAAUAGAACAAUAUAAUUAGGUUUUGCUCUUUGUUCGAUUAAAUGAGAAAAAGCUCUAGUUGCAAAAUUAUUGUUAGGGCUCAAUUGAGUAGUCUAACGUUCUUCCGGUUUUGCUUCUUGUGAAUGUUGACAUCGUUUCGUUCCAAAUUUACACACUCGGGGCAUUCUCGGGGCAUAAUAGAAAGCUUUUACUUCUUGUUCGAUGGAAUGAGAAAAAGUCCUCGUUGCAAAGUUAUAAUGUUAUGGCGCAACAGAGUAGUCUAAUGUUGUUUCGGUUUUGGUUCUUGUGAACGUUGACAUCGAUUAGUUCCAAAUUUACACUCUCGGGGCAUAAUAGAACAAUAUUAUUAGGUUUUACGCUUUAUUCGAUUGAACUAGAAAAUGUACUCGUCGCAAAGUCAUACUGGUAUGGCGCAACUGAGUAGUCUAAUGUAGUUCCGGUUUUGGUUCUUGUGAACGUUGACAUUAAUUCGUUCCAAAUUUACAUUCUCGGGGCAUUAUAGAAAGCUUUUCCUCCUUGUUCGAUAGAAUGAGAAAAAGUACUCGUUACAAAGUUAUACUGUUAUGGCGCAACAGAGUAGUCUAAUGUUGUAUCGGUUUUGGUUCCGGUGAACGUUGACAUCGAUUUGUUCCAACUUUACAUUCUCGGGGCGUAAUAGAACAAUAUAAUUAGGUUUUACUCUUUAUUCGAUUGAAUGAGAAAAAGUACUCGUUGCAAAGUUAUACUGUUAUGGCGCAACUGAGUAGUCUAAUUUAGUUCCGGUUUUGGUUCUUGUGAACUUUGACAUCGAUUCGUUCCAAAUUUACACUCUCGGNNN
Molecule: long non-coding RNA, 1134 nt
Filed under: Ananas comosus (pineapple)
Lineage: Eukaryota; Viridiplantae; Streptophyta; Magnoliopsida; Poales; Bromeliaceae
Description: long non-coding RNA (ACOM_LNC040095)
Source: RNAcentral